CCUGCGCGGGCCGCGGCGCCCGCGCGCUGCCACCUGGCGGCCAAGGGCCCGCACAGCACCCGCAGCCUGCUUCCCAACGAAUUCGGAAAGUUUUAAACCUUUACAACGAGUGAGUGGAGAAUGCGUGUUUGACUAAACAUACAGCAUUUAUGCUCACAUGAGAGCAAGAGGGACAGAGAAGCAGUAAAACCUGAGUAGGGCACUUGGAAGUUUGACAGUUCAUCAAAUUCAUAACAAGAGACUUACUGUAAUGCAUAAACCAGUAAAGCUGACACAGAGAUGAUGACUGGAAAACAACAGAAUCCCUAAUGUCUGCCCUGUAUAGUACUGCUUCAACACAAGGAAUGAGGAAAUGUGUGUCAGAAGAAAUCUGGUUUUCCCUGUAGGGUGGUAGAAA
This is a long non-coding RNA of Vidua macroura (Pin-tailed whydah), 397 nucleotides long. RefSeq lists it as uncharacterized. NCBI's taxonomy places the organism in Eukaryota, Metazoa, Chordata, Aves, Passeriformes, Viduidae. The transcript has 2 exons. The record is from RefSeq and is a predicted model, not a curated record.